GGGGAUAUAGCUCAGUUGGUAGAGUGCUUGCCUUGCAUGUACAUAGGCCCUGGGUUCAAACCCCAGCACCA
RNAcentral lists this transfer RNA (71 nucleotides) under Urocitellus parryii (Arctic ground squirrel). RNAcentral's name for it is "Spermophilus parryii (Arctic ground squirrel) tRNA". It matches the Rfam family "tRNA". Rfam says of the family: Transfer RNA (tRNA) molecules are approximately 80 nucleotides in length. Their secondary structure includes four short double-helical elements and three loops (D, anti-codon, and T loops). Lineage: Eukaryota; Metazoa; Chordata; Mammalia; Rodentia; Sciuridae. The record is from Rfam by way of RNAcentral. RNAcentral also lists the same sequence under 1 other name.